CAUUACUGCUGCAGUGGUCCUUGGCUUUCUAUCUGAUUUCCCCUCAACCUCUCCUGCCCAGUGCCUAUGGACUUUAGCUGUGCCCUGGUAUUUCAGGGCCCCAUAGCUCUUUAUGUCUCGCUGACAUGUGCCUCUGUCCUUCAGCCCCUACCAUGCUUUGCUACUGCUCAGUGACGAGAAGUCUCUAUUGAGUGAGCUUCCCAUUGACUGCUCCCCGGCUCUGGUGCGGGUGAUCAAGACCACGUCUGCUGUGAAGAACCUACAGCAGCUAGCCCAGGAUGCUGAUCUGGCCUUGCUGCAGGUCUUCCAGCUUGCAGCUCACCUGGUGUACUGGGGCAAGGCCGUCAUCAUCUAUCCACUGUGUGAGAACAACGUCUAUGUCCUGUCUCCCAAUGCCAGUGUGU
RNAcentral lists this long non-coding RNA (404 nucleotides) under Rattus norvegicus (Norway rat). RNAcentral's name for it is "long non-coding RNA NONRATT004129". The record is from RNAcentral. Lineage: Eukaryota; Metazoa; Chordata; Mammalia; Rodentia; Muridae.